GAUGAACGCUGGCGGCGUGCCUAAUACAUGCAAGUCGAGCGAACAGACGAGGAGCUUGCUCCUCUGACGUUAGCGGCGGACGGGUGAGUAACACGUGGAUAACCUACCUAUAAGACUGGGAUAACUUCGGGAAACCGGAGCUAAUACCGGAUAAUAUAUUGAACCGCAUGGUUCAAUAGUGAAAGACGGUUUUGCUGUCACUUAUAGAUGGAUCCGCGCCGCAUUAGCUAGUUGGUAAGGUAACGGCUUACCAAGGCAACGAUGCGUAGCCGACCUGAGAGGGUGAUCGGCCACACUGGAACGGAGACACGGCCCAGACCCUCAGGGGGGGGAGAGGGAGGGAAUUUUCCGAAAGGGGCGAAACCCUGAGGGGGCAACGCCGGGGGGGUGAUGAAGGUCUUGGGACUGUAAACCUCUUUUAUUAGGGAAAAAAAAAUGUGUAAGUAACUAUGCACGUCUGGGCGGUACCUAAUCAAAAAGCCCCGGCUAACUACGU
This 496-nucleotide ribosomal RNA is filed under the name uncultured bacterium. RNAcentral describes it as "partial 16S ribosomal RNA". It matches the Rfam family "Bacterial small subunit ribosomal RNA", at positions 28 to 506 of the family's 1533-position model. The record is from RNAcentral.